Podarcis lilfordi (Lilford's wall lizard) is the source of this 76-nucleotide non-coding RNA. The record is from the annotation of a GenBank genome assembly. Lineage: Eukaryota; Metazoa; Chordata; Lepidosauria; Squamata; Lacertidae.
UGGAGCAUAGGUCAGGGGUGGAGCAUCUGCUUUGCAUGCAGAAGUCCUCAGGUUCAAUCUCUGAUGGCAUGUCCAG